Molecule: ribosomal RNA, 511 nt
Filed under: Myrmaecium sp. KN12
Lineage: Eukaryota; Fungi; Ascomycota; Dothideomycetes; Valsariales; Valsariaceae
Description: eukaryotic LSU rRNA
Source: RNAcentral
GGGCGCGCGCACCUUCCAACCCCUUGAAUCGUCACACCCGACCCGGUCGCUCCCYYCGCUCGCGGGGGGCGCUCCAGUCCAACUCGCGUCUCGAAACGUUGCCGUCUGAGUCAACACGACAAAUCAAUCAAAACUUUCAACAACGGAUCUCUUGGUUCUGGCAUCGAUGAAGAACGCAGCGAAAUGCGAUAAGUAAUGUGAAUUGCAGAAUUCAGUGAAUCAUCGAAUCUUUGAACGCACAUUGCGCCCCCUGGCAGUCCGGGGGGCACAUCUGUUCGAGCGUCAUUACAACCCUCAAGCUCUGCUUGGUCUUGGGCGUCCCGUCCCCGCCUCGCGCGGCGGACGCGCCUCAAACUCCUCGGCGGUCCGCACCGGCUUCGAGCGUAGCAAUCGCACCUCGCUCACGGAGUCCGGCUCGGGUCCUGCCGCAUGACGACACACCGUUUCAUUUCGAAAGGUUGACCUCGGAUCAGAUGGGGAUACCCGCUGAACUUAAGCAUAUCAAUAAGCG